GUUUCCGUGGUGUAGCGGUUAUCACGUGCGCUUCACACGCGCAAGGUCCCUGGUUCGAUCCCGGGCUUGAACA
This 73-nucleotide transfer RNA is filed under the name Cordylochernes scorpioides. Its description in RNAcentral is "tRNA-Val". Lineage: Eukaryota; Metazoa; Arthropoda; Arachnida; Pseudoscorpiones; Chernetidae. The record is from RNAcentral.